AUUGAACGCUGGCGGAAUGCUUUACACAUGCAAGUCGAACGGUAGAGGGGGCAACCCCUUGAGAGUGGCGAACGGGUGAGUAAUAUAUCGGAACGUGCCCAGUCGUGGGGAUAACGUAGCGAAAGUUACGCUAAUACCGCAUACGAUCUACGGAUGAAAGCGGGGGACUCGCAAGAGCCUCGCGCGAUUGGAGCGGCCGAUAUCAGAUUAGGUAGUUGGUGGGGUAAAGGCUCACCAAGCCAACGAUCUGUAGCUGGUCUGAGAGGACGACCAGCCACACUGGAACUGAGACACGGUCCAGACUCCUACGGGAGGCAGCAGUGGGGAAUUUUGGACAAUGGGCGCAAGCCUGAUCCAGCAAUGCCGCGUGCAGGAUGAAGGCC
Molecule: ribosomal RNA, 383 nt
Filed under: uncultured bacterium
Lineage: Bacteria
Description: bacterial SSU rRNA
Rfam family: Bacterial small subunit ribosomal RNA
Source: RNAcentral